This is a long non-coding RNA of Amphimedon queenslandica, 189 nucleotides long. RefSeq lists it as uncharacterized. The record is from RefSeq and is a predicted model, not a curated record. The transcript has 3 exons. NCBI's taxonomy places the organism in Eukaryota, Metazoa, Porifera, Demospongiae, Haplosclerida, Niphatidae.
AAUGAGUCGAUUGGAGAUGAAGGAAAUGAGAGAUUCGUUGGAGAAGAGGAUGUACCACACACUCAAAGCAAAACACUCACUAUUGAUGAUGAUGAUAACAAGAGAUUAUCACUAACACCUUUCUCCACUCCACCGGAACAGCGAAGACAUAACAUGGAGGAACUACAUGAAGUUGCUAAAGAAUUCGAU